GAUGAACGCUAGCUACAGGCUUAACACAUGCAAGUCGAGGGGCAGCAUGAACAUAGCUUGCUAUGUUUGAUGGCGACCGGCGCACGGGUGCGUAACACGUAUCCAAUCUGCCCGUUACUCGGGGAUAGCCUUCUGAAAGGAAGAUUAAUACCCGAUAGUAUCCAUUAGCGGCAUCGCCUAUGGAUUAAAGAUUUAUCGGUAACGGAUGAGGAUGCGUACGAUUAGCUGGUUGGCGGGGUAACGGCCCACCAAGGCGACGAUAGCUAUCCGGCCUGAGAGGGUGAACGGACACAUUGGGACUGAGAUACGGCCCAGACUCCUACGGGAGGCAGCAGUCGGGAAUAUUGCGCAAUGGAGGAAACUCUGACGCAGUGACGCCGCGUAUAGGAAGAAGGUUUUUCGGAUUGUAAACUAUUGUCGAUAGGGAAGAAAAAGACUGUACCUAUCAAGAAAGCUCCGGCUAACUACGUG
RNAcentral lists this ribosomal RNA (471 nucleotides) under uncultured bacterium. RNAcentral describes it as "bacterial SSU rRNA". It matches the Rfam family "Bacterial small subunit ribosomal RNA", at positions 28 to 507 of the family's 1533-position model. The record is from RNAcentral.